This 469-nucleotide ribosomal RNA is filed under the name uncultured bacterium. RNAcentral describes it as "partial 16S ribosomal RNA". It matches the Rfam family "Bacterial small subunit ribosomal RNA", at positions 28 to 507 of the family's 1533-position model. The record is from RNAcentral.
GACGAACGCUGGCGGCGUGCUUAACACAUGCAAGUCGAACGGAAAGGCCCUGCUUGCAGGGUGCUCGAGUGGCGAACGGGUGAGUAACACGUGGGUGAUCUGCCCCUUACUUUGGGAUAAGCCUGGGAAACUGGGUCUAAUACUGGAUAGGACCAUGCUGUAGGUGGUGUGGUGGAAAGAUUAGUUUCGGUAAGGGAUGAGCUCGCGGCCUAUCAGCUUGUUGGUGGGGUAAUGGCCUACCAAGGCGUCGACGGGUAGCCGGCCUGAGAGGGUGGACGGCCACAUUGGGACUGAGAUACGGCCCAGACUCCUACGGGAGGCAGCAGUGGGGAAUAUUGCACAAUGGGCGCAAGCCUGAUGCAGCGACGCCGCGUGGGGGAUGACAGCCUUCGGGUUGUAAACUCCUUUCAGCCAUGACGAAGCCCUUGUGGUGACGGUAGUGGUAGAAGAAGCACCGGCUAACUACGUG